AGUGAACGCUGGCGGUAGGCCUAACACAUGCAAGUCGAACGGCAGCACAGUAAGAGCUUGCUCUUACGGGUGGCGAGUGGCGGACGGGUGAGGAAUACAUCGGAAUCUACUUUUUCGUGGGGGAUAACGUAGGGAAACUUACGCUAAUACCGCAUACGACCUACGGGUGAAAGCAGGGGAUCUUCGGACCUUGCGCGAUUGAAUGAGCCGAUGUCGGAUUAGCUAGUUGGCGGGGUAAAGGCCCACCAAGGCGACGAUCCGUAGCUGGUCUGAGAGGAUGAUCAGCCACACUGGAACUGAGACACAGUCCAGACUCCUACGGGAGGCAGCAGUGGGGAAUAUUGGACAAUGGGCGCAAGCCUGAUCCAGCCAUACCGCGGGGGUGAAGAAGGCCUUCGGGUUGUAAAGCCCUUUUGUUGGGAAAGAAAAGCAGCAGGUUAAUACCCCGCUGUUCUGACGGUACCCAAAGAAUAAGCACCGGCUAACUUCGUG
This 492-nucleotide ribosomal RNA is filed under the name uncultured bacterium. RNAcentral's name for it is "partial 16S ribosomal RNA". It matches the Rfam family "Bacterial small subunit ribosomal RNA", at positions 29 to 507 of the family's 1533-position model. The record is from RNAcentral.